AAUCGUUGAAAAGUUCCCUCGACUAUCUUUCGUAACCCUCAUCAGACUGAAAUGGCACUUAUAACACAUAUAUAUGCAAAGUUCUCAUCAAUAGAAACGGAUUAAGUUCAAACAGCAGGUAAUUGCUAUAAAUCGUUAAAGAGUUCCCUCGACUAACUUUUGUCUCCAUCAUCAGACUGUAAUGGCACUUCUAACUCAUACAGGUGCAAAGUUCUCAUCAAUAGAAACGAAUUAAGUUCAAAAAGCAGGUAAUUGCUAUAAAGUGUUGAAGAGUUCCCUCG
Molecule: unclassified non-coding RNA, 281 nt
Filed under: Melitaea cinxia (Glanville fritillary)
Lineage: Eukaryota; Metazoa; Arthropoda; Insecta; Lepidoptera; Nymphalidae
Description: misc RNA ENSMCXG00005016064.1
Source: RNAcentral